Mercurialis annua (annual mercury) is the source of this 3418-nucleotide RNA transcript. It is a transcript of the gene named stachyose synthase, with no coding region annotated. NCBI's taxonomy places the organism in Eukaryota, Viridiplantae, Streptophyta, Magnoliopsida, Malpighiales, Euphorbiaceae. The transcript has 5 exons. The record is from RefSeq and is a predicted model, not a curated record.
CACACUGCAUUUAAAGUUUUUUGUCCUGGAACAAUACUGCUUCAAUUUCUUCUUCUCCUUUCGUUAUCAUCACCUUUCCUUGCUAUUCUGUAAUACUCUCUUCUUCUUCUGUUUUUGCUCUGUUCCUUUCUCUUUAUGGCUCCGCCAAAUAAUCCCACUAAAUCACUAGUUAAAAUACUUAAACCAGAGGCUUCUGCCGAUUACUUCCAAUUAUCUGACGGAAAUUUCACUGUAAAAGGCGUUAAAUUACUCUCCCAAGUUCCAAAAAACGUCACCUUUUCACCCUUUUCAUCUGUCUGUAACUCCUCCAACUCAGACGCUCCACUUCCCCUGCUCCACCGUGUCCUCUCUCAGUCUCACAACGGUGGCUUUCUCGGAUUCAAGAAGCACACACCGUCUGAUCGACUGACAAACUCACUCGGAACAUUCAACGGUAGGGAUUUCCUGUCCAUUUUCAGAUUCAAAACAUGGUGGUCUACUAUGUGGGUUGGAAACUCAGGCUCUGAUUUGCAAAUGGAAACUCAAUGGGUUCUCUUUAAUGUUCCUGAAAUUAAAUCUUAUGUGAUAAUAAUCGCAAUCAUUGAAGGUAAAUUUAGGUCUGCUUUAAACCCUGGGAUUAACGGGCAUUUCUUGAUUUGUGCUGAGAGUGGUUCAACUCGAGUUAAAGAAUCGAAUUUUGAUGCUAUUGGUUAUGUUCAUGUUUGUGAUAAUCCGUAUAAUAUUAUGAAAGAAUCGUAUAGUGCUAUUCGAGUUCAUCUUAAUACAUUUAGGGUUUUGGAGGAGAAAAUUGUUCCUGAGAUUGUUGAUAAAUUUGGGUGGUGCACUUGGGAUGCUUUUUAUUUAACUGUGGAGCCUAUUGGUAUAUGGCAUGGUUUGAAUGAUUUUGUUGAAGGUGGUGUGAAUCCAAGGUUUUUAAUCAUUGAUGAUGGCUGGCAAAGUAUUAAUCUUGACGGAGAAAACCCGAAUGAAGAUGCUAAGAAUCUUGUUCUCGGUGGUGAGCAAAUGACCGGCAGGCUUCAUCGACUCGACGAGAAUCAGAAAUUUAGAAACUAUAUAGGUGGAUCCAUGGCAGAUCGUAAUAAUCGUAUUCUGUUUGAUCCGAAUAGGCCUAAGUUGUUGAUUUCGAAAGCGAUAGAAAUCGAACAUGCUGUGAAGGAUCUCAAGAAGGCAAUUCAAUCCGGUGUGAGGGAUUUAUCGGGUUACGAAAUUAAAAUUGAAAAAUUUAAGAGAGAAUUGGAUGACAUGUUUGGUGGAGAACAAAAUGUCAACGUUUGCAAUGGUGGAUGUGGGGAUUAUGGGAUGAAGGCAUUUACAAGAGAUUUAAGAGAAAAAUUUAAGGGUUUGGAUGAUAUAUAUGUUUGGCAUGCUCUUUGUGGAGCUUGGGGUGGAGUUAGGCCUGAGAGUACACAUUUGAAAUCAAAGAUUUCUUCUUGCGAAAUGUCGCCGGGUCUCGACGGUACAAUGGAAGAUCUUGCUGUUGUUAAAAUUGUGGAAGGUGGUAUUGGACUUGUUGAUCCUCAGCAAGCUGGAGAACUUUUUGACUCUAUGCACUCUUAUCUUUCAAGUGUUGGUAUUACAGGAGUCAAGAUGGAUGUCAUUCAUACUCUUGAAUACGUAUCUGAAGAACAUGGAGGUCGAGUUGAGCUUGCAAAGGCUUAUUACAAAGGGUUAUCAGAUUCAAUAGCAAAAAAUUUCAAAGGAAGUGGAAUGAUUUCUAGCAUGCACCAGUGCAACGAUUUCUUCUUCCUCGGUACAAAGCAGAUAUCCAUGGGAAGAACAGGUGACGAUUUCUGGUUCCAAGAUCCAAAUGGUGAUCCGACAGGAGCUUACUGGCUACAAGGAGUUCAUAUGAUCCACUGUGCCUAUAACAGCCUGUGGAUGGGGCAAAUUUUACACCCUGAUUGGGACAUGUUUCAGUCGGAUCACUUGUGUGCCAAGUUUCAUGCCGGUUCAAGAGCCAUCUGCGGUGGACCUGUAUAUGUUAGUGACUCUGUUGGUUGCCAUGAUUUUGAACUCCUGAAGAAACUUGUGUAUCCUGAUGGCACCAUUCCUAAGUGUCAGCAUUUUGCCUUGCCUACUAGAGAUUGCCUCUUCAAUAACCCUUUGUUUGACAUGAAAACUCUUCUCAAGAUAUGGAACUUCAACAAGAUAAUGUGCAUCAAAUGCUAUUCAAGUGUCAUAUUGCAAUAUGUAAAACGCAUUGUUAGUGGCGAUAAGAGUUCCUUUAAGGCUGUAAACGAGCUGACAUGCUCACAAGCAGUUCGGUGUUUGGCUCGAUAAGAGAUCAGUACGUGUUUGUUUGUAUCUUAAACGAAUCAAGUUCGAGCUUGAUUUUAUGCUCUUAUUUAAAUGAGUUGAACAUGCCAUAUAGUGUUGUUCGGCUCGUUUAUGUUCACGAACAACUCGUAUAUGAGGAUAUUUAAUUGUCGUGGAUGAGCUCGUAUAUAAGCUCGAUUAAGAGUUCGUGAAUUGAUUUGCGUAUGACAUCUAUAAAGAGUUUACAAACUAGCUUGUAUAGAAGUUCGAUUAAGAGUUUAUGAACUAAUUUAUAGUUAAAUAAAGGAUUAUUUCCAUAUAAAAUCACUGUCUUUAUACAUUUGUUUCAUUUUAAUCACGUCCUUUAACGGUUUUUUCCCAAAAAAUUUCCAAAAAUAUAUAAUUCCGUAAAAGUGCCUGUUAUAGAAUCUGCAACUCAUAGUUGUAAAUUCAUGCACGAAUCCGCAACUAUGAAUUGCGGAAUUAAGGGGAGCUAAUCUGAUUCCCACAUGGGAAUUAGUUGAUUCCCAUGUGGGAAUCAGUUGACCACUCCGUAUCAGUGGUCAACUGAUUGCCACAUGGGAAUCAACUGACUCCCACAUCCCACAUGGGAAUCAGAUUCCCUGCUAGGUGGGUGUGCUAGCAACUAUGAGUUGCGGACUCCCUUAAUUUUAAUUAAGGGGAGCUAAUCUGAUUCCCACAUGGGAAUUAGUUGAUUCCCAUGUGGGAAUCAGUUGACCACUCCGUAUCAGUGGUCAACUGAUUGCCACAUGGGAAUCAACUGACUCCCACAUCCCACAUGGGAAUCAGAUUCCCUGCUAGGUGAGCACACCCAAACCUACUCCUUUUAAUAUUUUUUUAAAAUUAUCAAUUUUAAAAAAGAAAACUCUCAUUUUUUUUCCAUUUUUAAAAUAAAAUAUUAAUCUGUAGAGUUUUUUCGGUUUUGGGAUUUUGUAAUUUCGGAAUAUCGGAGUAAGGCGUUGAAAUUUUAGCAAUGGACAUCGUACUAUAUUUCUGAGGACUACAAGAGUAUGGAGGUGUGAUCGGAGCAUUCAACUGCCAAGGAGCUGGCUGGGAUCCAAAAGAGAGAAGAAUAAAGGGCCACCCUGAUUGUUGCAAACCAUUAACUGCCACUAUUCAUCUCACUGACAUUGAAUGGGAC